GCUGGGCAUGGUGGCUCAUGCCUGUAACCCCAGCACCCAGGGAGGCCGAGGCAGGAGAAUCGCUUGAGCCCAAGAGUUCAAGACCAGCUUGGGCAACAUGGCGAGACCCUGUCUCUA
RNAcentral lists this small RNA (117 nucleotides) under Pongo abelii (Sumatran orangutan). RNAcentral describes it as "Metazoan signal recognition particle RNA (ENSPPYG00000030258.1)". The record is from Rfam by way of RNAcentral. Lineage: Eukaryota; Metazoa; Chordata; Mammalia; Primates; Hominidae.